This 253-nucleotide ribosomal RNA is filed under the name uncultured bacterium. Its description in RNAcentral is "partial 16S ribosomal RNA". It matches the Rfam family "Bacterial small subunit ribosomal RNA", at positions 524 to 776 of the family's 1533-position model. The record is from RNAcentral.
UACGAAGGGGGCUAGCGUUGCUCGGAAUUACUGGGCGUAAAGGGCGCGUAGGCGGAUAGUUUAGUCAGAGGUGAAAGCCCAGGGCUCAACCUUGGAACUGCCUUUGAUACUGGCUAUCUUGAGUUCGGGAGAGGUGAGUGGAAUGCCGAGUGUAGAGGUGAAAUUCGUAGAUAUUCGGCGGAACACCAGUGGCGAAGGCGACUCACUGGCCCGAUACUGACGCUGAGGCGCGAAAGCGUGGGGAGCAAUCAGG